Solenopsis invicta (red fire ant) is the source of this 3639-nucleotide long non-coding RNA. RefSeq lists it as uncharacterized. NCBI's taxonomy places the organism in Eukaryota, Metazoa, Arthropoda, Insecta, Hymenoptera, Formicidae. The record is from RefSeq and is a predicted model, not a curated record. The transcript has 6 exons.
UCAGUUCUAAUUACACGUGUGUGACAUGGGAGCAAUCGCGCGAAGGCGAUGAUUACAUGGAGAUAACCUCCAUGGGUGAUUAUCGCUACCGCCACGCGCGGGCGUUACGCGCAUCCAUGGUAUAAAGAUAUUGUUACGCCCGGUAUUGGAAGUCCGGCGCGUGAACGGAGCUGCGUUGUUUGACGAUAGGAGAUCGUGUUCUGUUUCUGUUUGUUCGUUCUGGAUCUAAUUUUGAUCUUGUGACACGUUUUGAAUUAAAGAAGAAUUCUUUUAUAAACGAGUCGACUAAUUUCUUAGUGCGUGUGUGAAUAAGAGUGCGCGAGUGAACCGUAUUGCGGGCCUAUCUUUGGCGGACGCAUCAAUAUAUUUAUAUCACGCGCGCACCGCAGACAAGAGAAAAGCGCAAGCACCAUCGAUCCCAUAUCAAACAGCUAGAAUUAUUUUUUUGCGUUGCCUUGCGACAACGGCUGUCGAGAGCGGAACGUCGAGAUUGGCUGGUCGGCCGCGUACGGUAAUUGUAAACCACUUGAUAGAAGAAGAAAAAGAGAGCGAGACACCGACCUUGAUGAGGAGCGAUUCCCGGCCGGUUGCUAAAGAGCUAGCGAGAGAUGUAAAGCAAGGAGUUGUUGCCAGAGCGAAUUAACGUGACGAAGAGGACUACACCGAGGAGAAGCUGCCGUGCUGGUGUUCGUCGGCCCGAAAGAUCGUUUUUGUUAUAGUGUUUGAUAAGUCGAUCACCUGCAAGAGCAAAGAGGAUCUCGUCGCGAGCUAAGGAGAAAUUAGCCUCGCGUGGAACGUUGUAUGUUCUCCUGGGGUAUUGUGUCGCUGGGACAGCCGAGGGAAGUGCAAAAUCAAGUUUUAAACUCGAUCUGCACCGCGUGCUCCUAGCUCUCAUUCGACCAUGCGUCAUGCGAGUCGGUAACGCAAGCUCGCGUGAUCACCGCGUGAUCGAGGCUGCGUUUACUUUCGCGAUCAAAGCGCUUGUAAACAUCAUUUAUCCUUGUUCAAGAUUUAUAAACAAUAAGGAUGAAAUGAUGCUUAUAAGCGCUUACAGCACGUGAGUGUCCAAAGUAAACGCACCCCGGGUCGUGCCGCGAAUACGGGUGCAUCUGGUCUAUCGCUGGUACUUGUCGCUGCUGCAUAGUAUUUUCGCGUGCCGAUGCCGGACUCUGAUUCUCGCGUUCAUUACCGCUGCGGUAGCGAUAUUCGCAUCAAGAUCUUGCUCUGAUCAAUUUGGUCCAUCUUUUAUCUAAUUUGGUGUAUACAAGUCACGGUCUUGAAUUUAAAUAAAAAAAUAAAUAUAUUUUCUAUACGAAUUUUAAAAACAUUGCUAAGUAGAAAUUCGAAACAAAUUUUACUUCGAUCGACGCUGGUGUUGUAUUUGAUUCCAUUAAUCUCGAGAGUCCGCAAGUCAUCGGCUCAAAUAUAAUACACAAGUCGGUCUUACGCUGUUUCAGUAUCCAGUUAGACAACCGAUUUAUGUGGAACACUCAUUGACAACACUAAACUUGUUAGCUAAACUACUAGAAAUAAUAAAAAAUAAUAAAUCUAAUUACUAAACAAUUUAAAGUAAACUUAGGUGUUAAAGCUCCUGAAGUAUUCAAAGACUUAUAUCUUUGGUUAAAUUUGAUGAAGGACAUAAAACGAAAUAUUUAAAAUCUCUAGAGAAAGAGGAAAUUCCCUAUUUACCUAGAGAUUUUAAAUAUUUUGUUCUAUGUCCUUCUUCGGCUGCGUUCCGAUAUACACUGCAAGUACUGAAAAUCUAUAGUUCACGUUACGUAUACUAUAGAUUUUCAGUACUGGCAGUGAAUUUGGGAACGCAGCCUUCAUCAAACCACAAAUCAUAUAAGUUGUUGAAUGCUUUAAGAGCUUUAGCGCCUAAUCCAUAUAAAAUACUGGACACGUUAUCUAGAUUUAUUAAUAAAUCUAGCUAAUGUGUCCAGUAUUUUAAGUGGAUCAGGCACUAAAGCUCCUAAAGCAUUCAAAGACUUAUAUGAUCUAUUGAAGAAGGACAUAAAACAAAAUAUUUAAAAUCUCUAGAGAAAGAGGGAAUAAAUUCGAUAUAGUUUGCAUAUAGAAUUUUGGCAAUUUUUGGAUAGAAAAUUACGUUUAUAUAAAAAAAUUGAAUUUAUUAUGUAAAUACCAAUACAAGUAACUUUGUUUAAAUUUCAAAUGAUACUAAAAUUUAAAAAAAAAUAAAAUUUUGCAAAUUUAAUUUGAUUGGCAGCAAUUAUUACAUAAAUACAUACGAUGAGUGUCGCACAUCGGACGUAAACAGGAGGAACAUUGAUAUUUGGUUUUACGAUUUUUCAUAUAAUAGCGUAAUGCACAGCAACUCUCUUUGCAAUAAAGACCUAUUCACUUCUUAUGCAGGAUUCGACGAUACGCCGUCUGAUAGCUUAUUUUUCGAAUAACGUGGAUUUUAUUUUAAUCUAAGGCGGAUUAAUAAUUGUUUUAAUACAAUAAUGGUACAUGCUCUAUUUUAAGUUCUUGGGUGAUUCCAACAUACAGCAAUUUUCAAUAAUUAAACAUCUUGUUAAUUAUUUCAUAGUAUGCAAAAUGAUAGAGAACGUUUCUGUUUAGUUUGACCUGCUCCAUCAGCCUGUGAGCAAACAAAAUUUUUAACAAAUUUUCAGAGUAAAUUCAAAAACUUAUUUCAGUUCUUGAAAGAUUAGAAAAAAUUGAAACGUUGGAAUGGAAAUCAUCAAACUUAAAAUACGCAUAUAUUAAAAUGUAAUAUAAAAUUGAUAUACAUAAAUAAUAUACUUUGACUGGCAAUCGUAUAUAAAUCGUACUUACAUUUUCUUAAAAAUCACUAGUAAUUGCAAUAUUUUGAGUAUUAAGAUAUUGAUGUUUUCGUUAUCGCAUGAUAGAAAUCUCAAUAAUUUAAAAAAUUUUUUGCUAUUCUCUUUAAUCAAAUUUGAAAUUAUAAUAAACGUUCAGUGAUAAAACGUGCAAAAUACUUACGAUGGACCAGUGGCAACGUUUUUAACAGAUAGAUACAAAAGAUUUAACAGAUAGAUACAAAAGCGAUCUUCCUAAUUUAUCAAAGAUAAUGCAGAUUGAAUAUGCUUUAAUGCGCCAUUUGGAAAUUAUCUUUAAUGUCUAAAAGUCUGAAUAUUAAAUAGAUAUCUUAAGUUGAAAACUUUAACAAAAUAUAAUGAACGCUAAACAAAUAUUGUAAAAUCGUUUUUGCAUAUGAAAAUACAUUGCCAUUACUAUAAGAACACUUGGAGAAUACAAUAAUUGUAUUAAUCAAGAUUUAUAAUAUGUAUACAUUUUGAAAUCUUGAUAAUAUAUUUGAUACAUCAAGAUAUAAUUAAUUGAUGAUAUAUCUCAAAUGUUGCAUUUUCUAUCUGGUAGAUAUAGCUAUCAAAAUGCUUGUUACGAUUCUCGAAAUUAAAAUUAUUAUACCUCACCAUAUUAGUUUCACCUACAUGUUUUAAAUAUGAUUAAAAUAUAUAAUGUAACCCAUAUAAAUAACGUAUACAUGCGAUAAAGGAUACAUGGAUGUCUAAAAUAGAAUCUUAACAUCUACAUAUGGAAACUGUUCAUUUAAAUUUAAGAAACAAUUUUUAUGUUUCUAAAUACAUUUUGUAUCAUAAAAUUUAAUACAAAUAGAAAUAUUUGGAAAAUUUA